AUGUCAGUUUCAGAUACGAACCUUAAUAAUGUAGAAAAGCCCAUCUCCGAAACUACCGAUGCGGAACUCGCCGAAAAGCAUGGUCAUAUGAAGUUAGUAUGCUCACAGACAAGGUUCGGAAAAACCAUGAAACUGUUGUCAGAAGACCACAAAAAGUACAUCAUAUCAGAAACCAGUCUUGGUGGACUAACCCAGAUGCAUGAAGUGACUCUACGUCGCAUAAUGUUGGUUAGACUAGCCAAGAGCAUAGAUAUGGACACGAAAUCCAUUACCAUCGGUAAAACACCAAUUCCUAUAACAAAAGAGGACGUGCAAGGUAUAUUUGGCAUUCCGAUAGAAGGGGAGGAUAUAGAGCCACAUCUGGAAAAUCAAACCGACACAGAAUUGUUUACCGCCUAUGCAAACAAUGGGCAAAUUUUGAUUUCUGACCUUGAAACAGUGAUCUGA
This 447-nucleotide ribosomal RNA is filed under the name Triticum aestivum (bread wheat). Its description in RNAcentral is "partial small subunit ribosomal RNA". The record is from RNAcentral. Lineage: Eukaryota; Viridiplantae; Streptophyta; Magnoliopsida; Poales; Poaceae.